UACGGGGGGCGCAAGCGUUGUUCGGAUUUACUGGGCGUAAAGGGCGCGUAGGCGGUCAGCACAAGUCAGUUGUGAAAUCUCCGGGCUUAACCCGGAGCGGCCAAGUGAUACUGUUGUGCUAGAGUGCGGAAGGGGCUACUGGAAUUCUCGGUGUAGCGGUGAAAUGCGUAGAUAUCGAGAGGAACACCGGCGGCGAAGGCGGGUAGCUGGGCCGACACUGACGCUGAGGCGCGAAAGCCAGGGAGCGAACGGG
RNAcentral lists this ribosomal RNA (253 nucleotides) under uncultured bacterium. RNAcentral's name for it is "partial 16S ribosomal RNA". It matches the Rfam family "Bacterial small subunit ribosomal RNA", at positions 524 to 776 of the family's 1533-position model. The record is from RNAcentral.